RNAcentral lists this ribosomal RNA (308 nucleotides) under uncultured fungus. RNAcentral describes it as "partial 18S ribosomal RNA". It matches the Rfam family "Eukaryotic small subunit ribosomal RNA", at positions 92 to 375 of the family's 1831-position model. The record is from RNAcentral. Lineage: Eukaryota; Fungi.
AUAANANUUUNUAUCUGNCGNAAGGGCCCUUUAAUCNUUAUAAUCUUCUUGAAUGGAACAUCUACAUGGAUAACCGUGGUAAUUCUAGAGCUAAUACAUGCGCAAAAUCNCGACUGUCAUNCAAAGGAUGUAUUUAUUAUGUACAACAUCAAUGCUGGCACUUGUGUCGGGUUUAUUGANGAUUCUAAUAACUAANCNAAGCGCACGACCUUGUGUUGCNGCUGAUACUUACGACUUUCUGCCCUCCCAACUUUCGAUGGGAGUAUAGAGGACUACCAUGGUUUCAACGGGUANCGGGGAAUAAAUAA